RNAcentral lists this ribosomal RNA (535 nucleotides) under Kyklioacalles reinosae. RNAcentral's name for it is "partial 16S ribosomal RNA". It matches the Rfam family "Bacterial large subunit ribosomal RNA", at positions 1819 to 2625 of the family's 2925-position model. The record is from RNAcentral. Lineage: Eukaryota; Metazoa; Arthropoda; Insecta; Coleoptera; Curculionidae.
GGCCUUUUGAUUAUAAUUUAAGGUCUAGCCUGCCCAAUGAUAAAAUUUAAUGGCCGCAGUAUAUUGACUGUGCAAAGGUAGCAUAAUCAUUAGUUUUUUAAUUGAAAGCUUGUAUGAAAGGUUUGAUGAAAGAAAAGCUGUCUCUAUUUAAAGUUUUAGAAAUUUAUUUUUAAGUUAAAAAGCUUAAAUUGGUAUUGAAGACGAGAAGACCCUAUAGAGUUUUAUUUAUACAGUAAUAGUUAAAGUUUAGUAUCUAAAAGUUUAUUAUUAUUGUAUGAAUUUAGUUGGGGUGAUUAAAAAAUUUGUAAAACUUUUUUUGUAACUUUACAUUUAUUUAUGAGUUUUUGAUCCUUUUAAAGAUUAAAAGAUAAAAUUACCUUAGGGAUAACAGCGUAAUUUUUUUUAGAGUUCUUAUCGAAGAAAAAGAUUGCGACCUCGAUGUUGGAUUAAAAUUUAAUUUUUGGUGUAGAAGCUAAAAAAUUAGGUCUGUUCGACCUUUAAAUUUUUACAUGAUCUGAGUUUAAACCGGUGUAAG